This 490-nucleotide ribosomal RNA is filed under the name uncultured bacterium. RNAcentral describes it as "bacterial SSU rRNA". It matches the Rfam family "Bacterial small subunit ribosomal RNA", at positions 773 to 1259 of the family's 1533-position model. The record is from RNAcentral.
AGGGAAUAGAUACCCCCGGUAGUCCACGCCCUAAACCGAUGUCGACUAGGUGUUCGGUGAGGAGACUCAUUGAGUACCGCAGCUAAACGCGUGAAGUCGACCGCCUGGGGAGUACGGUCGCAAGAUUAAAACUCAAAGGAAUUGACGGGGACCCGCACAAGCGGUGGAUGAUGUGGAUUAAUUCGAUGCAACGCGAAAACCUUACCUACCCUUGACAUGUACGGAACCCUGCUGAGAGGUGGGGGUUGCUCGAAAGAGAGCCGUAACACAGGUGCUGCAUGGCUGUCGUCAGCUCGUGUCGUGAGAUGUUGGGUUUAAGUCCCGCAACGAGCGCAACCCUUGUCAUUAGUUGCUACGCAAGAGCACUCUAAUGAGACUGCCGGUGACAAACCGGAGGAAGGUGGGGAUGACGUCAAGUCCUCAUGGCCCGUUAUGGGUAGGGUCUUCACACGUCAUACAAUGGUCGGUACAGAGGGUUUGCCAAGCCGCG